AAACACACCUGAACAAGUUAACCAGGGUCUUCAAGAUUAGGCCACUAGCCCACGGGCAGCACAUUGUCCAGUGAGAGAUCGCAGGUCGAGAAGAUGAACGCUCGCGUGUGCUGCUCGUUGAUCGCUGUUUUGUUGUGUCUCUCUGUGUGCUUGAGCACAACAGACGCCAAAAAACAUGUCAGAGGAAAACGAAAUGCUCGUUUGUCACCAGCAAAGCCAGGAGUGUGUCCUGAUGACAAAGACAUGAUAGGAGUGUGUGUCGAGGACUGUUUUGGUGAUCGCGAAUGUCCAGAUGAUGAGAAAUGCUGCAGCAAUGGAUGUGGACAUCAGUGUAUGCCUCCAUAUAUAGUAGUAAAGCCAGGAUUCUGUCCAGAAACUGUUGGAUUUGGACCGUGUGUUGAGAAGUGUUCUGGUGACGGUAGCUGUCCAAACAACCAGAAAUGCUGCAGCAAUGGAUGUGGACAUCAGUGUAUGGCUCCAUAUAGAGUAGUAAAGCCAGGAUUCUGUCCAGAAACUGUUGGAUUUGGACCGUGUGUUGAGAAGUGUUCUGGUGACGGUAGCUGUCCAAACAACCAGAAAUGCUGCAGCAAUGGAUGUGGACAUCAGUGUAUGGCUCCAUAUAGAGCAGAAAAGCCAGGAUCGUGUCCAAAACCCAUUGGAUUUGGACUGUGUGCGGAGAUGUGUUCUAGUGACAAUAACUGUCCAAACAACCAGAAAUGCUGCAGCAAUGGAUGUGGACAUCAGUGUAUGGCUCCAUAUACAGCAGUAAAGCCAGGAUCCUGUCCAAAACCCAUUGGAGCCGGACUGUGUGUUGAGAAGUGUUCUGGUGACGGUAGCUGUCCAAACAAUCAGAAAUGCUGCAGCAAUGGAUGUGGACAUCAGUGUAUGGCUCCAUAUAGAGAAAAGCCAGGAGUGUGUCCAAAAAUGAAUCUUAAAGAUUGUGCUCAGUUGUGUUUCCAAGACGGUCAAUGUCCGGAUGAUCAGAAAUGCUGCAGCAAUAAAUGUGGACAUCGGUGUGUGCCUCCAUAUAAAGAAAAGCCCGGAGUGUGUCCAAAAAUGAAUCUUAAAGAUUGUGCUCAGUUGUGUUCCCUAGACGAUGACUGUCCGAAGGAUCAGAAAUGCUGCAGCAGUGGAUGUGGCCGACAGUGUAUGGCUCCUUAUAAAGAAAAGCCAGGAGUGUGUCCAAAAUGAAUCUUAAAGAUUGUGCUCAGUUGUGUUCCCAAGACGGUCAAUGUCCGGAUGAUCAGAAAUGCUGCAGCAAUAAAUGUGGACAUCGGUGUGUGCCUCCAUAUAAAGAAAAGCCCGGAGUGUGUCCAAAAAUGAAUCUUAAAGAUUGUGCUCAGUUGUGUUCCCUAGACGAUGACUGUCCGAAGGAUCAGAAAUGCUGCAGCAGUGGAUGUGGACGACAGUGUAUGGCUCCUUAUAAAGAAAAGCCAGGAGUGUGUCCAGUGUCUUUUGCUGGAGUAAAAGGACGGUGUGCAGAAGAGUUGUGUGUCAGUGACUUUGACUGUCCGAGAAAUCAGAAGUGCUGCAGCUCUUUUUGUGGAGGACGUAUGUGUACACCUGCAUCUUAAGACAGAAGUGUCCCAGACACCGGUGGACAUGCAGAGAACAUGACAAUUUAACCAUUGGAAAAAGCCACCCCCAAUGUUGUACUUGAGGUCUUUUUGUCUUCCUCAAAUAAAUCUGUUUAAAGGUC
This is an RNA transcript of Carassius auratus (goldfish), 1699 nucleotides long. It is a transcript of the gene named WAP four-disulfide core domain protein 3, with no coding region annotated. The transcript has 14 exons. Lineage: Eukaryota; Metazoa; Chordata; Actinopteri; Cypriniformes; Cyprinidae. The record is from RefSeq and is a predicted model, not a curated record.